Long non-coding RNA from Mytilus californianus (California mussel), 306 nucleotides. RefSeq lists it as uncharacterized. The record is from RefSeq and is a predicted model, not a curated record. Lineage: Eukaryota; Metazoa; Mollusca; Bivalvia; Mytilida; Mytilidae. The transcript is spliced from 2 exons.
UUUUAAUAAUUUCUUUUUACUCUUCAAUCGAAUUUUACAAAUUUAAAAUAUUGCUUGGCGAUGAUGAUCGAUGUUAUUCUUAUUUUUUGCACAGGGUUAGAGACAGAACAGUAACUUAGGAAAGGGACAGAUCAGUACCUUGGGAAAGAAAGAUUUAAGGAUAAAAGUAAUAGCUGUCUAGGAAGAGUAAUGGAGGCCUACACAAAGAUAACAGAAGCUGAGUUAAAGAAGGAUUGUGCACCAGAAAUGGUUGGAGGAGUUUAGAGACUACAAUUCAUUUUCACGAAAAUAAUAAAAAUUGAUUAA